Molecule: transfer RNA, 74 nt
Filed under: Treponema sp.
Lineage: Bacteria; Pseudomonadati; Spirochaetota; Spirochaetia; Treponematales; Treponemataceae
Description: tRNA-Arg
Rfam family: tRNA
About the family: Transfer RNA (tRNA) molecules are approximately 80 nucleotides in length.
Source: RNAcentral
GCGGGAUUAGCUCAACUGGAUAGAGCGUCGGCCUCCGGAGCCGAAGGUUGUGGGUUCGAGUCCCGUAUUCCGCA